Molecule: ribosomal RNA, 214 nt
Filed under: uncultured bacterium
Lineage: Bacteria
Description: partial 16S ribosomal RNA
Rfam family: Bacterial small subunit ribosomal RNA
Source: RNAcentral
CCCAGUUCGGAUUGUAGUCUGCAACCCGACUACAUGAAGCUGGAAUCGCUAGUAAUCGCGAAUCAGAAUGUCGCGGUGAAUACGUUCCCGGGUCUUGUACACACCGCCCGUCACACCAUGGGAGUCGGAAAUGCCCGAAGUCUGUGACCCAACCUUAGGGAGGGAGCAGCCGAAGGCAGGUCGGAUGACUGGGGUGAAGUCGUAACAAGGUAUC